AAAAUACGCAAUACGCUAACCACAAGCUUGCACCUACUGCUUAGCUUAUGCCUAAGCUCUGGCUACAUAGAAAACUCAGCUAUCUAUUACCCAGUAUCUAAAACUCAGUAUCUAUCACUGAGAAAACUCAGUGAUCUAUUAGGUAACACAGGAUGAAAAAGUAGAAUAAAGUGGGGGUCAUGCCAUUCUGCCAAAGCAUUGUCUGCCUAAAUACCUGUCCUAAAGACUCAUGGGAGAGGCAAGCCAAUGAACAAUGGUCAAUGUGGCACCUUGAACCAAUUCAGUCGGCUCUUAACUUCCCAUACAUUUAAUUAAAAUUUUUUUCAAACAAAAAGGAAGAUUCCUUAAAGUAUCAGGUCUCUUAGGGGUUAUGCUAACAGAAGC
RNAcentral lists this long non-coding RNA (384 nucleotides) under Homo sapiens (human). RNAcentral describes it as "non-protein coding lnc-CEP128-8:1". The record is from RNAcentral. Lineage: Eukaryota; Metazoa; Chordata; Mammalia; Primates; Hominidae.